RNAcentral lists this unclassified non-coding RNA (371 nucleotides) under uncultured fungus. RNAcentral describes it as "partial contains small subunit ribosomal RNA, internal transcribed spacer 1, and 5.8S ribosomal RNA". The stretch from base 1 to 73 matches the Rfam family "Eukaryotic small subunit ribosomal RNA", at positions 1759 to 1831 of the family's 1831-position model. Lineage: Eukaryota; Fungi. The record is from RNAcentral.
ACAAACUUGGUCAUUUAGAGGAAGUAAAAGUCGUAACAAGGUUUCCGUAGGUGAACCUGCGGAAGGAUCAUUAUCGAGUUUAAAUCCAGCCGCUCUUGCUGUGCAUUUACUUGCACGCUCGUGCGGUUGGCUCUUUAACUUUACACACCUGUGCACCUUCAGGCUGUCUCGACUUGUCUGCUCCUCGGAGUGGGAUUCGAGUGCUGCAGUGAGCCUCUGGUUCGCAGCUCACUUUGGAGAGAUAUGUCUGUUUUUUUACACCAUUUUGUAUGUCUUUGAAUUUCACGGUCACUCUGUGAUGGAGUGGUCGAAAAAAUAAUACAACUUUCAGCAACGGAUCUCUUGGCUCUCCCAUCGAUGAAGAACGCAGC